This 945-nucleotide long non-coding RNA is filed under the name Lactuca sativa (garden lettuce). Its description in RNAcentral is "long non-coding RNA (LSAT_LNC008081)". The record is from RNAcentral. Lineage: Eukaryota; Viridiplantae; Streptophyta; Magnoliopsida; Asterales; Asteraceae.
UAACGGACCAAUCGUGUCCCGGCCCGUUAAUAAUAUAAAAUUUAAAAUCGAGCCAAAAUUAGCCGACGAAGUCUAAACGAAAGUUGUAGAGUACGUUCCCACCUUCGCGUGGAUAUAAAGAACGUCGAAAACGGAGGUCGUACGCGAAAGUUACGAAUUUUUAAAGUUUGUACUCGUNGAGAAUCGAAGAUCUCGUUGAGAGUAGCGUAACGAGAAAAAGAUGGGCGAAAACGGAUGUCGGAUGAAGAAGUUAUGAGGAUUUAACGGACCAAUCGUGUCUCGGCCCGUUAAUAAUAUAAAAUUUAAAAUCGAGCCAAAAUUAGCCGACGAAGUCUAAACGAAAGUUGUAGAGUACGUUCCCACCUUCGCAUGUAUAUAAACAACGUCGAAAACGGAGGUCGUACGCGAAAGUUACGAAUUUUUAAAGUUUGUACUCGUUUUUGCGAGGUCUGAUACGAAUUCGCUGACGUGGCGCUUUCCCAGCCGUCCGAUGAUGAUCGCUGAAGUCGCCUCGGAUGAGUGACGCGUCGCCCCUCGCUACGCCCAGCGUUCGGUCUCGUACGCGCCGCGUUCGCUUAGCCGUUCUCGGUCCAGAAGAAGCCACGUCGCACCACCGAGCCUUCGCCACCUGGAGGUCUGAUCCGAAGCUACGCCCCGCGUCCGAGGACCUGUACGCCCAGCGUACGUCCGAGGACCAGGCUAUAAAAGGGGACCGAGGCUGCCCACAUUUUCACACCAAAAAUAACUUCUCUCUCUAGUUUCUUUCUCUCUCUAGAGUUCCAAACCCCCCCUAAGCCCUAGAUAAAACCCUUAGCACCCUAGGAAAGCCCCGAGGCUCCCGGAAUCCCGAGAAAAAGGAGUUUUUCGGUUUCGAAACGUUGCUCCAAUCAAGUCCCGGUUCUCGAUAAAAAUCGCUGUAAGUGUGCUACGCUUACGCAAUUUUUA